This 484-nucleotide ribosomal RNA is filed under the name uncultured bacterium. RNAcentral describes it as "partial 16S ribosomal RNA". It matches the Rfam family "Bacterial small subunit ribosomal RNA", at positions 30 to 507 of the family's 1533-position model. The record is from RNAcentral.
AUUGAACGCUGGCGGCAGGCCUAACACAUGCAAGUCGAGCGGAAGAAGGGAGCUUGCUCCUGGAUUCAGCGGCGGACGGGUGAGUAAUGCCUAGGAAUCUGCCUGGUUGUGGGGGAUAACGUCCGGAAACGGGCGCUAAUACCGCAUACGUCCUGCGGGAGAAAGUGGGGGAUCUUCGGACCUCGCGCUAUCAGAUGAGCCUAGGUCGGAUUAGCUAGUUGGUGGGGUAAAGGCCUACCUAGGCGACGAUCCGUAACUGGUCUGAGAGGAUGAUCAGUCACACUGGAACUGAGACACGGUCCAUACUCCUACGGGAGGCAGCAGUGGGGAAUAUUGGACAAUGGGCGAAAGCCUGAUCCAGCCAUGCCGCGUGUGUGAAGAAGGUCUUCGGAUUGUAAAGCACUUUAAGUUGGGAGGAAGGGCAGUAAGUUAAUACCUUGCUGUUUUGACGUUACCAACAGAAUAAGCACCGGCUAACUUCAUG